GGGCGUAGCUCAGUUGGUAGAGCACUAGCUUCCCAAGCUGGUUGUCGCCGGUUCGAAUCCGGUCGCC
Molecule: transfer RNA, 67 nt
Filed under: marine eukaryotic metagenome
Rfam family: tRNA
About the family: Transfer RNA (tRNA) molecules are approximately 80 nucleotides in length. Their secondary structure includes four short double-helical elements and three loops (D, anti-codon, and T loops). Further hydrogen bonds mediate the characteristic L-shaped molecular structure. tRNAs have two regions of fundamental functional importance: the anti-codon, which is responsible for specific mRNA codon recognition, and the 3' end, to which the tRNAs corresponding amino acid is attached (by aminoacyl-tRNA synthetases). tRNAs cope with the degeneracy of the genetic code in two manners: having more than one tRNA (with a specific anti-codon) for a particular amino acid; and 'wobble' base-pairing, i.e. permitting non-standard base-pairing at the 3rd anti-codon position.
Source: RNAcentral